AGGUGAGAAAUCUUUUGCACCAGCGUAAUCAAAUGUAAGCUCCUCUAGAGGCUGAAUGUCUUUGAUGGCAAAAAAAGCGAGAUCAUAAAUGGUUCGAAAUCCAUGGUUCCGAACAGCAGAAUAAAUAGCUAUAUUAGGUGAACAGGAGUGGUUAAAAAAACGAGAGACAUCUCCAUAGUUCUGAGCAUCCACUGUAUACUCGCUAGCAUCAUCAAACAUGUCUAAAUCAAAUAAAUAGGUAAUACCGUCGUCGUCAUAAUUUUUGUCACGCUUGGCGGCCUCUGCUGAAGUUAUGACUUCUCCUAAAUAGCAAGUGAUAAACGUGCCAGCAGGGGCAAAUCGAAGCGAACGUACACCCCAUCCUUUUUCUUUUGUUUUAAAUAUUUCAAGCGGAAGAGUUCUACCACGUUGAACAACGCGAUUAGGACACUCCAUUGAACAAGAACAAAAAGAGUUGCAUUCAUAUAUAACGGCACCCGUAUCUGCACGGACCCGCCCCUGUGCAUCAUAGGCAAAAUGAGUUGGCUCAUCCAAAUCAUCUAAACACUCACAACGAGAAGGAUUGUUAAGGUCACAACCGCCAAGGGACGAGCAAUUGCAUCCAGAUUGAAAAUUUGGAUCAGGCGGGAUAACACCUUGUGUUAAGCGGUACUGGCUAAUGAAUUGAAAAUCUAAAGAUGGACAGGGUUCAUCGUCAACUUCAUUGACAAGCGUUACUUCGGGUCCUUCAAUUUCCCGCAGUUUCUUACGAAAUAGCUCUCUCUUUUCGUAAAAACUUAGAUGGGUAUAAGAGUCAAGUUUGGAAGGGUUUCGCGGUUUUGUGAGAAUUGAAGAUGUUUUGGGGGAUGUAGCUUCUUUAAUAGAAUUGGAAACUAGUUCUCUUUUUUGAGAUUCCUCCUUCACUUCAUUUCUCGUCUUCCCCAGCUUCUUUGAAUUUGUAUGAAGACUAUCGUCUAAAAUGAUACUAGUAUCAUUCGUCGUCAGAGCGGUGGAUUGUUUUCGAGAUUGUCUCUUGGUAGUUUGAGAAGAAAAAACCUUUUUAUUUUCCUUUUUUACAUUCAAUUCCCGCGAAAAUCUUUGAGAACGAGGCACUGACUUUGAAGUUUGAUGUUGGUGCUUUUGUCUACUGUUUGGAUGUGGAUUGCUCGCAUGGUGCGGUGAAUCCGAGUCGGAGUUACUUCCCUUUAGUCUCCUCUUCCGCCUUUUCCAUUCUGCUAAAACGGCAGAACAUCCAGAAAGGUUCUCAGGGGGCUCCCAAGUAUCACUUCUAGAUGAAUAGUUCAACCAUCGAAUGCGAUAUAGUUUGACAGCUCCAUUACGAUCCAAUUUUUCGUCCACAAUCCUUUCAACUUCAUACUCCUCUUGUUUAGGCGACAUUCGCAAAACUAAUAACCUCUUGUUUGGUGAGAUGAUUUUUAGCAAACCCUCCAAAUGAUGCCUGAACGAAUUUAAAAAAUAAAAUAAGGAGAGGGUUUAUGUUAAUAUGACAAUUGCUAAAGGACUAAAAUAAUAGACGACCGCGAACUCAGAAUAUAAAACUGAAUGUUUUUUAGUAAUGAGCAA
Non-coding RNA from Schizosaccharomyces pombe (fission yeast), 1563 nucleotides. NCBI's taxonomy places the organism in Eukaryota, Fungi, Ascomycota, Schizosaccharomycetes, Schizosaccharomycetales, Schizosaccharomycetaceae. The record is from the annotation of a GenBank genome assembly.